RNAcentral lists this ribosomal RNA (223 nucleotides) under uncultured bacterium. RNAcentral's name for it is "partial 16S ribosomal RNA". It matches the Rfam family "Bacterial small subunit ribosomal RNA", at positions 28 to 256 of the family's 1533-position model. The record is from RNAcentral.
GACGAACGCUGGCGGCGUGCUUAACACAUGCAAGUCGAACGGUGAAGCCUUCGGGUGGAUCAGUGGCGAACGGGUGAGUAACACGUGAGCAAUCUGCCCUCGACUCUGGGAUAACUUCGGGAAACCGGAGCUAAUACCGGAUAUGACAUCUGGCCGCAUGGUCUGGGUGUGGAAAGAUUUAUCGGUCAAGGAUGAGCUCGCGGCCUAUCAGCUUGUUGGUGGG